This 468-nucleotide ribosomal RNA is filed under the name uncultured bacterium. Its description in RNAcentral is "partial 16S ribosomal RNA". It matches the Rfam family "Bacterial small subunit ribosomal RNA", at positions 28 to 507 of the family's 1533-position model. The record is from RNAcentral.
GACGAACGCUGGCGGCGUGCUUAACACAUGCAAGUCGAACGGAAAGGCCCUGCUUUUGUGGGGUGCUCGAGUGGCGAACGGGUGAGUAACACGUGAGUAACCUGCCCUUGACUUUGGGAUAACUUCAGGAAACUGGGGCUAAUACCGGAUAGGAGCCCCUGCUGCAUGGUGGGGGUUGGAAAGUUUCGGCGGUUGGGGAUGGACUCGCGGCUUAUCAGCUUGUUGGUGGGGUAGUGGCUUACCAAGGCUUUGACGGGUAGCCGGCCUGAGAGGGUGACCGGCCACAAUGGGACUGAGAUACGGCACAGACUCCUACGGGAGGCAGCAGUGGGGAAUAUUGCACAAUGGGCGGAAGCCUGAUGCAGCAACGCCGCGUGCGGGAUGACGGCCUUCGGGUUGUAAACCGCUUUCGCCUGUGACGAAGCGUGAGUGACGGUAAUGGGUAAAGAAGCACCGGCUAACUACGUG